UACGUAGGGGGCAAGCGUUGUCCGGAAUUAUUGGGCGUAAAAAGCUCGUAGGCGGCUUGUCACGUCGGGUGUGAAAGCCCGGGGCUUAACCCCGGGUCUGCAUUCGAUACGGGCAGGCUAGAGUGUGGUAGGGGAGAUCGGAAUUCCUGGUGUAGCGGUGAAAUGCGCAGAUAUCAGGAGGAACACCGGUGGCGAAGGCGGAUCUCUGGGCCAUUACUGACGCUGAGGAGCGAAAGCGUGGGGAGCGAACAGG
Molecule: ribosomal RNA, 253 nt
Filed under: uncultured bacterium
Lineage: Bacteria
Description: partial 16S ribosomal RNA
Rfam family: Bacterial small subunit ribosomal RNA
Source: RNAcentral